RNAcentral lists this unclassified non-coding RNA (363 nucleotides) under uncultured bacterium. Its description in RNAcentral is "contains 16S-23S intergenic spacer region". The record is from RNAcentral.
UCCCUGUUGCCAGGGCAGUCUAGCCAGAGAAAUCCAACUGGCUAAAAGGGUUGCGCUCGUUGAUGGACUUAACCAAACAUCUCACGACACGAGCUGACGACGGCCAUGCAGCACCUGUCACCGAGUUCAAUAAAGCACUCUCACCUUUCGGCAAGAUUCUCGGGAUGUCAAACCUGGGUAAGGUUCUUCGCUUACCAUCGAAUUAAACAACACGCUCCACCGCUUGUGCGGGUCCCCGUCAAUUCCUUUAUGUUUUAAGCUUGCGCUCGUACUCCACAGGCGGGAUGCUUAACGCGUUAGCUUCGCUACUAGAAGGGUCGAUACUUCUAACAGCUAGCAUCCAUAGUUUACGGCGUGGACUAC